AUUGAACGCUGGCGGCAUGCCUUACACAUGCAAGUCGAACGGCAGCACGGGAGCAAUCCUGGUGGCGAGUGGCGAACGGGUGAGUAAAGUAUCGGAACGUGCCCAGUCGUGGGGGAUAACGUAGCGAAAGUUACGCUAAUACCGCAUACGAUCUAUGGAUGAAAGCGGGGGAUCGCAAGACCUCGCGCGAUUGGAGCGGCCGAUAUCAGAUUAGGUAGUUGGUGGGGUAAGGGCUCACCAAGCCGACGAUCUGUAGCUGGUCUGAGAGGACGACCAGCCACACUGGGACUGAGAAACGGCCCAGACUCCUACGGGAGGCAGCAGUGGGGAAUUUUGGACAAUGGGCGAAAGCCUGAUCCAGCCAUGCCGCGUGCAGGAUGAAGGCCUUCGAGUUGUAAACUGCUUUUGUACGGAACGAAAAGGUUUGGCCUAAUAAGCUGAGCUCAUGACGGUACCGUAAGAAUAAGCACCGGCUAACUACGUGCCAGCCGCCGCGGUAA
Molecule: ribosomal RNA, 500 nt
Filed under: uncultured bacterium
Lineage: Bacteria
Description: partial 16S ribosomal RNA
Rfam family: Bacterial small subunit ribosomal RNA
Source: RNAcentral